RNAcentral lists this ribosomal RNA (490 nucleotides) under uncultured bacterium. RNAcentral's name for it is "partial 16S ribosomal RNA". It matches the Rfam family "Bacterial small subunit ribosomal RNA", at positions 30 to 507 of the family's 1533-position model. The record is from RNAcentral.
AUUGAACGCUAGCGGGAGGCCUUACACAUGCAAGUCGAACGGCAGCGGGGAGCACCUUGCUGCUUCGCUGACCAGAGGCGGACGGAAUGGUAAUGUCCGGGCAGCUGCCUGGUGGAGAAGGAUGACUACUCGUAACGGUUGCUGAUACCGCCUAAUGUGGGAAGACCGAAGAGGGUGACCCUCGGGACUCUUGCCAUCGGAUGUGCCCAGAUGGGAUUAGCUUGUUGGUGGGGUAACGGCUCACCAAGGCGACGAUCCGUAGCUGGUUUGAGAGGACGACCAGCCACACUGGAACUGAGACACGGCCCAGACUCCUACGGGAGGCAGCAGUGGGGAAUAUUGGACAAUGGGGGCAAGCCUGAUCCAGCCAUGCCGCGUGUAUGAAGAAGGCCUUCGGGUUGUAAAGUACUUUUGGCGGGGAGGAAGGGUGGCGAGCUAAUACCCCGGGGCACUGACGUUACCUGCAGAAUAAGCACCGGCUAACUCCGUG